CCUACUUGGAUAACUGUGGCAAUUCUAGAGCUAAUACAUGCAAAAAAGCUCCGCCCGUUAAGGAACGAGCGCAUUUAUUAGAAUAAAAACCAAUCGGGYCUUCGGGCCUGUUUGUUGGUGAAUCUGAAUAACUUUGCCAAUCGCACGGUCCUAGUACCGGCGAUGUAUCUUUCAAGUGUCUGCCUUAUCAACUUUCGAUGGUAGGUUAUACGCCUACCAUGGUAGUAACGGGUAACGGAGAAUAAGGGUUCGACUCCGGAGAGGGAGCCUGAGAAACGGCUACCACAUCCAAGGAAGGCAGCAGGCGCGCAAAUUACCCACUUCCAGAACGGAGAGGUAGUGACGAAAAAUAACGAGACAGUCCUCUUCGAGGUCUGUCAUCGGAAUGGGUACAAUUUAAAUCCUUUAACGAGGAUCUAUUGGAGGGCAAGUCUGGUGCCAGCAGCCGCGGUAAUUCCAGCUCCAAUAGCGUAUAUUAAAGUUGUUGCGGUUAAAACGCUCGUAGUUGGAYGUGCGGUCUUGGGAGAACGGUCCCCCGAAAGGGCGGUCACUGUCACUCUCCCGGCCUACAUUUCGCGUCGUCUCYAGGUGCUCUUUACCGGGUGCCUAGAGUGACUCGUACGUUUACUUUGAAAAAAUUAGAGUGCUUAAAGCAGGCGAAAUAGCCUGAAUAAGGUGCAUGGAAUAAUGGAAUAGGACCUCGGUUCUAUUUUGUUGGUUUUCGGAGCCUGAGGUAAUGAUUAAGAGGAACAGACGGGGGCAUUCGUA
This 768-nucleotide ribosomal RNA is filed under the name Nematoda environmental sample. Its description in RNAcentral is "SSU rRNA". It matches the Rfam family "Eukaryotic small subunit ribosomal RNA", at positions 135 to 907 of the family's 1831-position model. Lineage: Eukaryota; Metazoa; Nematoda. The record is from RNAcentral.